This 378-nucleotide long non-coding RNA is filed under the name Solanum tuberosum (potato). RNAcentral describes it as "long non-coding RNA (STUB_LNC001361)". The record is from RNAcentral. Lineage: Eukaryota; Viridiplantae; Streptophyta; Magnoliopsida; Solanales; Solanaceae.
AACUAUGGUCAGAGCAUGAGCUAUGAGCCUCCUAGGGACCAUAGUUACAGAUAUCACUAUGGCCAGAGCAUGAUCCAUGAGCCUCCCCAAGGAGACUCUGGUUUCAGAAAUAAUCACACUCGUCCUAUCGGUCCAGAAUUCAGACCUGAGAUGCCACCACCAGGUCAACCACAAGGAGACUCUAGUUUCAGAAAUAAUCACACUCGUCCUAUCGGUCCAGAAUUCAGACCUGAGGUGCCACCACCAGGUCAACCACCGGUUUAUGCGACUCACAGCUACAAUAGCUAUCAGCCAUCACCCUAUGUGACUGGAUAUGAAUACAUCAGGUCACCACCAAGAUACACACAAUAUACUAGGCCAGAGCAUUACUCUGAGGAC